UUAUGUUAAAAGUUAGUUUGUAAGCCUGUGAUGGCUGACUCUGGAGGACUUCAGUGGUUUGGACGACAUAUUUAAGGAUAUUUUCAACCACAUUGCCAACUUCUGUACACUGAUAUGGAGUUAACUCUCCAGAAAAAUAAGUCUGCAGCUGAUUGCCAGCUAUUUCCCGUACAACUAAAUGAACUAUGGCUUGUGAAAGCAUUCUGCAACCACUGGUGACACGAUUUUGUAUGUUCUCUUGAGAUCCAAAUUGCAGCAAGAGAUUAUUAUAAAUAGUCUGAACUACUAAUUGUAUAAUUUCAUAAUCAAUAGGAUGUAAGGAUUCUACAUACUGUACAAUCAUAUGUUCAUCUUUGGAGAGCUCUGUCAGAAUUGUACUCACUAACUUCAUUUGAAGGAAAUCCAGUCCUGUGUAUAAAUUAUCCUCACAUAUUUCCGUGGUAGUGUUGGCUACUGUUGAGAAAAUUUUUGAUAGAAGACAAGAAAUUAUACUCUCUAAAAAUUCAUGAGACAGCAUUACGGUAUAUGGCCAUGAUGUCUGACAUUCUUUGCAGGUUGUUUGGGGAACCUUUUGGACCUUUUUAAUAAACUCCCUAGAUUCUAGAGGCAAACGUACUGAAGCUGGAAAUUGAUCAUAAAGUAGCAAGUCUAACCGAUGCUGAAAAAUUUCUUCCAUUACUGCGCUAGCUAGCCUUCUUGCUAAAUUUUCACCGUUACUAUUUAUGUCCUUACAAAUGGAGUCCUGAGAUCUAUAUUCCUGUGAAAUAUUGCAUACAGAGGAGUGAGCAAACUUAUUGACCAAUGUUUUAUCAAUUGAUGGUGUUUUAGCCAUUAAAGGUAUUUCACGUGAAAAAGGUGUUUGUUUCAGUUGCAGGUGGCAUUCUACGCAUGGAUGGUAUUUUACCCAUGAUUAUCAUUUUUCUCUCAGGUGGGGCUUUAUCCACAGAUGGUUUUUUCUGCCUGAGAGGUACUUUAUGAACUGAUGAAACGUUACUUGCAGAUGAAAAGGACUGAUUUUGCUCAUCUGGGUUUAAUACUUUCAUUUGAGCAUCUGAAAACUCUUUUAACAGGGAUCAAUCAGUUUCAUAGCCGCAUCAUACAACUCAUCUUGAUUUACAUCACUGGUUGCAUUUUGACAUGCAUCGUCUGUGUCCGGUGAGGAAGAAAAAAUCAAUUUGUUAACUAUCUCAGAGAUAACAUCUUCUAAAAAGUUGGCAGGCAAAAUCCCAGAGUUAUUAGUUUCUGGUGGGUUAUCUCGUUAUCUUUACUUUUCUCAUUCUUUUCCUUGGUUGUAGGAACAUUUUGGCUAGCUGAAUUCACUAAAGCAGGCUGUGCAAAAUCCUUGCCAUCCACCUGAGUUACAUAGGCUGCUUUAUCAUUUAGGGGACUUUGGGAUUUUGAAUCAUAUAUUGGUCCUCGAAUAGAAGAUAUUUCUAAAACAUGGCUGUAAAAGCUUUUAGGGAUGUUUGGGAUGUAUUUAGCACGCCAGAUUUGUUUGUCAUCCAUAAGUCCAUAAGUGGGAGAAUCUCUCCUCUUCUCUUGGGGCUCUCUGUUUUUCAGCUUAGAUUUCAGGGGUGGUAGUUCAAAAGGCAUAUCCUUUUUUUCUAAUGAACUUUCUCUUUUCUUGUCACUAUUCUUUUUAUUGUCUAUUUUAAAAUCUUGUUCCAGUCCAAAGUUCUUGUGUUUUGUGUCAUUGGUAGCUGGUGAAAAAUGUUGGUAUGCUUCAUCAUCUUGCUCUUUUUCAUCCUUUCUAGCUGAACCGUCUUUCUUCUUGAUUUCAUCCUUUGUAAGUGGUGCAUUCAAAUUUGGCCCCUGAGUAUCUUUACUUUUCGCACUGGUUGUUGGAGAAGUAACUUUGGAUACCUUCUCAUUGUCUUCUCUAACUGAACUUCUUUUCUUUUCAUUCCCUUUCUUUUUAUCUGCCACACCUCCAAAUAACCCUGAUGCUAGGGUAGUUACUGUGCUCUUCUUAAUGCCAGUUUCAGCAGUACACAUUGGCUCAUGGAUGCUUCCUUUUUUCAUUGAUAUCUACUCCUUUUGGAAAUCCUCUUUGCCCUUGAAUGCUCCUCUACUUAUUUCCAAAGCAUCCAUUUUGUUUUUCAGGCCUGAGGUGGAUGGUUGUUCAGAAGAAACUGGGUUCUCCUUUAAGCUUCUGUUCAUCUUUGUGAAGGUUUUAUAUGGCAAAUGUUGAAUCCUCUCAAUAAUGUUAUCUACAUCUAGAGAAGAAGAGAAGGUAGAAGACCAGUCUCCUGAAAAAAGUGGUUGAAUCUUAAAAGAAGAGAUCACCUCAUUGGCUAAAGCAGGAAUGAUCUCAAUAACAAUGUUCCUUGUAUCAUCUUUCUGAACAUUGUGAGAUCCAUACAUUUCCAUAACCUCAUCAUACACAGAAUUGGAUACUUUAUCAACUGUUUCUUUAUCUAUUGGUGGAAAAGAAAACAUUUCCUCAGCGUUUGCUAGAACUUUAAUUUCAUUAUUCCUAAAUUCCCCGAUCAGGGCAUUUGCAAAAUUUAUAGCCAUGCCCAUGAGGUCUUGUUCUGAUAUUUCUUUGUCCUCAGGAUUUUCAGCAGUACUUGGGAGAGUACAAAACUUGUGAACAAGGUCAAUUAUAACAUCUUCCAAAAACAUAGCAGAAUACACAGAAGCCUGCCGUAAGAAUGGUGGUUUUUUUCUUUAUCGGGAUUUGAGAGUUCCAUGACAUGGUCAUUUGAUAUGGGAGAUGACUGUUGAUCACAUAAGAAGGGCUGCAGAUGGCGAUCCACAAUUUCCUCGAUAAUAAAACCAGCUAUGCCCCCAAGGAAGGAGCUUCCCUUUUUGCAUGUAUCUUGGAAUUUAAACUUUUUCAUAAUAUUGUAACAUAUGGAGUCAACGAAGUUCUCAGUUGCCUCUAGUGGCAUGCUUUCUGUUUGCUCCUCUUCAGGAGCAAGUCUAAUCUCAUGUUCAGAAAUUUCUGUUAUUAUUUCAUCAGUCAGUUUUGAAGCUGCAUCCACAAAGUCAUAAUCUGGCAUCACUUCCUCCUUUAGUUCAGUUUCAGUCUCAGAUGGAGGGAAUAUAUGUGUUAGAAGCUUGUAAAUCAUAUCUUCUAAAAGGGAAUGAGGCAAAACCAUGAUGCAUGGUGGUAAGAUGUGCCUACCAUCGUUGAUGAUGUCGAGUAUAUUUCUGAUGUUUUCAUCUUGGAGAGUGGAGUAAGAGGAUGUUGCUAAUUCUCCUGCAACUAAAGACUCCACUUGAUAAUCAUAAAUUUCUUCUAAUAGCAAGCAAUAUAUCUUCCUUCCAAAACUGAGGGCACCAUUUUGGAUAGCCCUAUAAAUAUGAAUCAGAGACUUAUAAUCAUCUAAUAUUUUUUCAUAAAUUAGGUUGACAGUGUUUUGAACCAUUUCUUUAUAUCCUUCUGAAAAAUACAGAUUGUUAUCCAAGUUAUCUGCAAGUAAAAUUUGUGAUGUGGUGAACUCCAGCACAAUUGAUUUUACUAAUGUUGUAACAAUAUCAGUAAUGUUGGCUUUUGCUUUCUGUGGGUUUUCAGCAGCCAAGAUAUUAUGUGAGAAUACAUAAAGAAUUUUGCACAAAAGCUCAGAAAUUACUUCCUCCAAAAAGACAGGUGAAUUCACAAUAAAAGAUAAUUCUGUUUGUUUAGGAUCUCUUGCUCUCUGUUUGUAAGUUUGAGCAGCUAUACCUGAAGGAAGAGUUUUGCCUCUAGGUAAAAAUGACUGAAGAUGAUGGUUAACUAUUUCUUUUAUUAUAUAACUUGCUAUUUUUGUAACAUGUAUAUUAUUUAUCCCGUUUUUGUCUUUUGUAAGAGACUGACAUAGAUUUGAAUGAGAAGUAUCAGUAUAAAUGGCAUCAACCAUGUUGAGCCUAAGAAAUAUUGAUUUAUAGAAAUGCCCCCUAUAUUUUUAGAGACAGAAAUGAUUUCAGGAGUUUUGCAAGGCUUUGCCCUGAAGGACAAUGUGAAUAUGUUAGUUUGCAUAUCAAAAGCUGCCUCGCCUCAGGAGGGCCUCUCAAUGGUCAGCAGCAGCUGCUUUCUAAGGUGAUGCUGCAGUCUCAGGCCUGUGGUUCUCACCUGCUUUGAAAGACAAAGCAGGUUUUGCUUGGAGCCAUGGGAGAGGGAGCUGAUCAAUAAAGACAGGCCGCCCGGAGAUGAGAGCUGAUCAAUAAGAUAUGCCACCCGAGCCAGGGCCUGAGCCGGGGCCCAGAUGGGCCCACACGGUUAAAGUAAUUAGCAUAAGGGACAACUCAUGCUUGACUUCUGAAAUCUCUAUUCUAAUACACAAUAUCCAGAGCCAUGAUGUCUUUGUUUAUGCUAAAGUGAUAGCUUUAUCUUAAAACUUAGAAGUUUGCCCUAAAAAGAUUUUGUAACCAUUUGUUCACAUAGAUAGAGUUAAUUAAGAGAUCUGUAGAAGCCUUUUAGUAGCCUUUGAACCUAAACUGAACUACCUGUUAUUAUGUAAAUCCUGUUAUCCCUGGCAACCGAAAACUGUACCUAUAAAUACCUAUGCAAAACUUCAGUCACGGUUUCACAUUCUGAUGGGAAAGACGUGUAAUCCUCUGAGUACCCUCCUUUGUCUAUCUUCAUAAAUUUAUUCUUUAUAAACUAUAUUUUUGCCUCUGUGUAUUAUUUUUAUUUCUAUUUCCUACUAUUUUUUUCAUCCUUUGCAACGACCCGUGCCUGAGGGACCCGAUUUUUUGCUGGGAGCGUAGCUAACUCCUGGCAAACUGGUGUAGUCGGCAGGACCUUACAACAGGGUCUUGAAGGCAAAACGCUUUGCUUGAAGUGAAGAAUAUUCCCGUAUAGCGUCACAAGGGACCCGGAGAAGGCCAAGAGUCGUGUGCACGGUACCCAGAGUGAGAUGAUGGACAGUCUGGAUUCCAAGCAGACGAAUCAAGCCCAGAAUGGAAACCUGAGGGGAAAAAGCAGAAGACACAUCAGGCACAGACCAUGACAUGGGGACAGCUGAAGAGAACAUAUGAAGAAGCAGACAGGAUAUUGGACUGGACAUCUUAACCUAAAAUGUCUGUAAACCUUUUUCUUGCCAUGAUCUGUAUGGUGAGCAUGGUGGUAAAAGUGUCUGGCAACCAGAACUAUCAUUAUUGGGCCUAUAUUCCUAAUCCACCUUUAAAUAAGAUUGUCAAUUGGGCUGACAUGCCUUUCGUAGUAUUUGUUAAUGAUUCUAAUUGGCUACCAGGACAUUAUGAUUAUCGUGGUCCAAUGAAACCCAACAAAGAGGGCACCAAAAUUAAUAAAUAUGAAGUUGGGACAGAAGGCCCUCCUAUAUGUAUUGGUAAAGGUAUUCAUUGUUUGAAACCUGCUACCCAAACCUGGUUAGUCACCAGCAAUUCAAGCGGUGAUAAAACUAAAGUUCAGUUAUUCCUUCUAACUGUCUCUUCUUUUUCUUCUUUUGGGCAUUCUAAAAUGGCACCCACAGACGUACACAUUUGUAAGGAAGUAAUAAUUUCUGACCCUAAAACCUGGGUACAAUGCGAAAUUGUAGAGCUCACGUGGGGUGCAUUCUUGCUGGGUCCACAUCUUGUGGUUUUGUAAUAGACUGGAGUCCCUAUGGACAUCCUGCCUCCUCUCAAAAUUUUAAAAAGCUUCGUUGGAAUAAAGCUGCCACCUCAAUGUCUGUAAAAGACACUGACCUUAAAAGUCAUAUUACAUGGCUCAAUAAUGGUAUGAGCUCUCCAGCCCCUCAUAUUUUAGAUGGCCCUAUUCAUGACCAAUUGUGGAAAUUAUCAGCUGCUUUGCACCCUUUGCAGGCCUAGAUUAGAACAUACAUUGGAUACAAACAAUAGCCAAGAAUGGACUUUUAAUUUGAAUUCUACUCAUUAUAUCCAAGUUUGUGUUAGACUGCCUUACUUGUUUAUGAUUGGACAUGCUGUUUAUAAUGAAUCUUCUUUCCUAGUGAUCUGUAUCAACUGUUUUUAUUAUACCUGUACUGACAAUUUCAUAAAGUUCAAUCCUUAUAAAGAAACCCAUUAUAUUCUCAAAGCCAGAACAGGACUAGUGGUUACCUGUUAAAAUGAAUAGAGUCUGGCAAGAAACCCCAGCAAUGUUCCUUUUAGACAAACUACUUAACCACAUUCUUAAACGUACAGAUUUUUUGGUCUCCUAAUAGGAACUAUUUUGGGAAUCACUGCUGUCACUGCUUCUGUGGCCACUGCAGGUAUGGCUCUGCAUCAGACCAUUCAGACCACUAAAUUUGUUCAAAAUUGGCAUCACAAAUCAAAUCAAUUAUGGUCUACCCAAAAUCAAAUUGACAGCAGAUUGGUUAUUCAAGUGUCUGACAUACAACAAGCAGUCACCUUAUGGGGAGACCAGGUUAUAAGUCUACAAAAGCAACUUAGAUUCCAUUGCGAUUGGAAUAUCACUCAAUUUUGUGUUACACUUCAUAUAUAUAAUCAAACUCGAUUCCCUUGGGAAAACAUUAAAAACAUCUACUUAAGGAAAUAUGACUAAAGAGAUUGGAAACUUACAACAAGAAAUAUUAAGUACCUUCAGUCAUAAACUUAAUUUGCUCUCUGAGGCUGACAUUAUUAAUGACAUCUCUUCUGGUUUGGAGUCAGCUGAUCCACCUUAUCAUCUUAAGAUCUAUGGGAGUUCCACUAUAGUAAAUUUUGGCAUUAUUUUAAUCCUUUGCUUGUGCUUAUUUAUAGUCUGGAGAAAGCUCAGAAGAAGACAAGAAUCUGGAGACCAACGCCUCGCUCUGAUCGCUGUCCAACUCCAUCAACUUACUUUAAAAAAUAAAAAAGAGGGAGAUGUUGAGCCUAAGAAAUUUUGAUUUACAGAAAUGCCCCCUAUAUUUUUAGGGACAGAAAUGAUUUCAGGAGUUUUGCAAGGCUUUGCCCUGAAGGACAAUGUGAACAUGUUAGUUUGCAUAUCAAAAGAUGCCUUGCAUCAGGAGGGCCUCUCAAUGGUCAGUAGCAGCUGCUUUCCAAGGUGCCACUGCAGUCUCAGGCCUGUGGUUCUCACCUGCUUUGAAAGACAAAGCAGGUUUUGCUUGGAGCCAUGGGAGAGGGAGCUGAUCAAUAAAGACAGGCCACCCGAGAUGAGAGCUGAUCAAUAAGAUAUGCCACCCAAGCUGGGGCCCGAGCCAGGGCCCAGAUGGGUCCACGUGGUUAAAGUAAUUAGCAUAAGGGACAGCUCAUGCUUGACUUCUGAAAUCUCUAUUCUAAUACACAAUAUCCAGAGCCAUGAUGUCUUUGUUUAUGCUAAAGUGAUAGCUUUAUCUUAAAAUUUAGAAGUUAGCCCUAAAAAGAUUUUGUAACCAUUUGUUCACAUAGAGUUAAUUAAGAGAUCUGUAGAAGCCUUUUGGAAGACUGUGAAACUAAACUUAACUACCUGUUAUUAUGUAAAUCCCAUUACCCCUGGAAAAUGAAAACUGUACCUAUAAAUACCUAUGUAAGACUUCAGUCACGGUGGCACGUUUUGACGGGAAAGAUGUGUAAUCCUCUAAGUAUCCUCCUUUGUCUAUCUUCAUAAAUCUAUUCUUUAUAGACUA
Long non-coding RNA from Lemur catta (Ring-tailed lemur), 7493 nucleotides. RefSeq lists it as uncharacterized. NCBI's taxonomy places the organism in Eukaryota, Metazoa, Chordata, Mammalia, Primates, Lemuridae. The record is from RefSeq and is a predicted model, not a curated record. The transcript has 2 exons.